This 490-nucleotide ribosomal RNA is filed under the name uncultured bacterium. Its description in RNAcentral is "partial 16S ribosomal RNA". It matches the Rfam family "Bacterial small subunit ribosomal RNA", at positions 30 to 507 of the family's 1533-position model. The record is from RNAcentral.
AUUGAACGCUGGCGGCAGGCCUAACACAUGCAAGUCGAACGGUAACAGGAAGCAGCUUGCUGCUUUGCUGACGAGUGGCGGACGGGUGAGUAAUGUCUGGGAAACUGCCCGAUGGAGGGGGAUAACUACUGGAAACGGUAGCUAAUACCGCAUAACGUCGCAAGACCAAAGAGGGGGACCUUAGGGCCUCUUGCCAUCGGAUGUGCCCAGAUGGGAUUAGCUAGUAGGUGGGGUAACGGCUCACCUAGGCGACGAUCCCUAGCUGGUCUGAGAGGAUGACCAGCUACACUGGAACUGAGACACGGUCCAGACUCCUACGGGAGGCAGCAGUGGGGAAUAUUGCACAAUGGGCGCAAGCCUGAUGCAGCCAUGCCGCGUGUAUGAAGAAGGCCUUCGGGUUGUAAAGUACUUUCAGCGGGGAGGAAGGGAGUAAAGUUAAUACCUUUGCUCACUGACGUUACCCGCAGAAGAAGCACCGGCUAACUCCGUG